Molecule: long non-coding RNA, 1451 nt
Organism: Callithrix jacchus (white-tufted-ear marmoset)
Lineage: Eukaryota; Metazoa; Chordata; Mammalia; Primates; Cebidae
Source: RefSeq, a predicted model, not a curated record
UGGGAGCUGGGGCGGAUGGGAAUCGUAUUUGCUUCCAACACAAGGAAGGCAAGUUUUUCCUAUUUCCAUGACAAUGGAAGGCAGGUUACUCCUUUAUGGAGUUUGAGCUCGCUUCCAACAGGGAAGAUGAAUUUGAGUUUUUUUCCUGCUUCUAGGAUGGUAGAAUGCAGUCUUCAGUCUGAGACCCAUCCCUAGGUUUCCGACAACUUGGAAGAUUGUGAUAUCAGAUUAGAGGAAAAACUUCUGGACUGAUGGGGAGCUGAAAUGUUCAUGAAUAUCAAGCAGAACAGGAAUUAACUGCACAGACUGAGAGAUGGGGUCUCACUAUGUUGCCCAGGCUGAUCUUGAACUCCUGGCCUCAAGGGAUCUUCCCACCUUGACAGUCCCAAAGUGAUGGUAUUACAGGGUCUUGCUGUGUCACCCAGUCUGGAGUGCAGAUUAUGGCUCACUGCAGCAUUGACUCCCCAGGCUCAAGCAAUCCUCCCACCUCAGCAUCCCAAGUAGCUAGGGCUACAGGUGUGCACUUUUUUGUUAAAAAUGGUAUGACUGGCCUAAUUAAAAAAAAAUUUUUUUUUGUAGAGACACUGUCUCACUAUGUUGCCCAGGCUAGUCUCCAACUCCUAGGCUCAAGCGUUCCUCUCGUGUUGGUCUCCUAAAGUUCUUAGCUUAAUUUUUCAAACCACAUGGGUAGUAUGAGUUUGGCUUUAAACUGAUUUGCCAGCUUCUGGGUACAAACUAUCAGGUGAUUUUUUUUCUUCUCUCCAUCCAGUGUUCUUACUUACUUUCCUCUCUGAGGUAGCGUAUUCUGGUGCAUUCUUUCACUGAGUGUAACGUCUUCUGAGGUUCCAGGUUUUGGAAAAGUGUCUCACUUUGAGUCCAUAUUAAUGUUGGCCACUAGGCUUUCUGUUUUAGAGCUCAGCCCAUUCCAACAUCAUCAAGAACAAAAAGACUGGGAUAACUGUCAGGCAAAAUGUCUCUUUAAUAUUGUUAUUUCUCUGGAUUCAUGCUUUUUUGUUCAAUUCCACACUAAGCCUUUUAUUUUUAAAUUUCCCAAGUCUAUAAAGAAGUUAAAACAACAGCAAAAUACCAUAUUUACCUUAAACUAAGAUUCACCAGCUGUUAUUCUGCUGCAUUUGCACUACCUCACAAAUGCUUUAUACACCCACAACAGUUUUACCUACUGGAAAACAGCAAAAAGAAUACUUCAUCUUUCAUUAUUCCAGCAUGCAUCUCUGAAGAAAAGGGACAUUCUUCUAUUCAGGCACAAACCACUGUCACACCUAAGAAAACUAUUCCAUACCAUGUAAGAAUUCAUAUACAAAUUUUCUGAAAUGUUUCUAAAAUAUGUUUAAUGGCUGGGUUUAAUUCAAAAUGAAAUCAAAGUUCAUGUAGUACAUUUGAUUAUACUGCAUUUCACCGCAUAUUGAUUAUAUUGCAUUGUUUUAUACAGA